RNAcentral lists this ribosomal RNA (253 nucleotides) under uncultured bacterium. Its description in RNAcentral is "partial 16S ribosomal RNA". It matches the Rfam family "Bacterial small subunit ribosomal RNA", at positions 524 to 776 of the family's 1533-position model. The record is from RNAcentral.
GACGUAGGGCGCGAGCGUUGUCCGGAUUUAUUGGGCGUAAAGAGCUCGUAGGCGGCUUGUCGCGUCGACUGUGAAAACCCGCGGCUCAACUGCGGGCCUGCAGCCGAUACGGGCAGGCUAGAGUUCGGUAGGGGAGACUGGAAUUCCUGGUGUAGCGGUGAAAUGCGUAGAUAUCUGGAGGAACACCGGUGGCGAAGGCGGCAUCCUGGACCGGUAUUGACACUGAGGCGCGAAAGCCAGGGGAGCAAACGGG